This 740-nucleotide ribosomal RNA is filed under the name Streptomyces sp. Its description in RNAcentral is "bacterial SSU rRNA". It matches the Rfam family "Bacterial small subunit ribosomal RNA", at positions 89 to 840 of the family's 1533-position model. The record is from RNAcentral. Lineage: Bacteria; Bacillati; Actinomycetota; Actinomycetes; Kitasatosporales; Streptomycetaceae.
GGAUUAGUGGCGAACGGGUGAGUAACACGUGGGCAAUCUGCCCUGCACUCUGGGACAAGCCCUGGAAACGGGGUCUAAUACCGGAUAUGACGCGUGACCGCAUGGUCUGCGCGUGGAAAGCUCCGGCGGUGCAGGAUGAGCCCGCGGCCUAUCAGCUUGUUGGUGGGGUAAUGGCCUACCAAGGCGACGACGGGUAGCCGGCCUGAGAGGGCGACCGGCCACACUGGGACUGAGACACGGCCCAGACUCCUACGGGAGGCAGCAGUGGGGAAUAUUGCACAAUGGGCGAAAGCCUGAUGCAGCGACGCCGCGUGAGGGAUGACGGCCUUCGGGUUGUAAACCUCUUUCAGCAGGGAAGAAGCGAAAGUGACGGUACCUGCAGAAGAAGCGCCGGCUAACUACGUGCCAGCAGCCGCGGUAAUACGUAGGGCGCGAGCGUUGUCCGGAAUUAUUGGGCGUAAAGAGCUCGUAGGCGGCUUGUCACGUCGGAUGUGAAAGCCCGGGGCUUAACCCCGGGUCUGCAUUCGAUACGGGCAGGCUAGAGUUCGGUAGGGGAGAUCGGAAUUCCUGGUGUAGCGGUGAAAUGCGCAGAUAUCAGGAGGAACACCGGUGGCGAAGGCGGAUCUCUGGGCCGAUACUGACGCUGAGGAGCGAAAGCGUGGGGAGCGAACAGGAUUAGAUACCCUGGUAGUCCACGCCGUAAACGUUGGGAACUAGGUGUGGGCGACAUUCCACGUUGU